CACUAAGAAGCUAAACAGGUACCAUAGCGUUAGCCUUUUAAGCUAAAAACUGGUGACUACCGACCACCCUCAGUGA
Molecule: transfer RNA, 76 nt
Filed under: Achirus lineatus (lined sole)
Lineage: Eukaryota; Metazoa; Chordata; Actinopteri; Pleuronectiformes; Achiridae
Description: tRNA-Lys
Rfam family: tRNA
About the family: Transfer RNA (tRNA) molecules are approximately 80 nucleotides in length.
Source: RNAcentral